This 447-nucleotide ribosomal RNA is filed under the name uncultured bacterium. Its description in RNAcentral is "partial 16S ribosomal RNA". It matches the Rfam family "Bacterial small subunit ribosomal RNA", at positions 29 to 523 of the family's 1533-position model. The record is from RNAcentral.
AACGAACGCUGGCGGCAGGCUUAACACAUGCAAGCCGAGCGCCCCGCAAGGGGAGCGGCAGACGGGUGAGUAACGCGUGGGAAUCUACCGUGCCCUACGGAAUAGCUCCGGGAAACUGGAAUUAAUACCGUAUACGCCCUACGGGGGAAAGAUUUAUCGGGGUAUGAUGAGCCCGCGUUGGAUUAGCUAGUUGGUGGGGUAAAGGCCUACCAAGGCGACGAUCCAUAGCUGGUCUGAGAGGAUGAUCAGCCACAUUGGGACUGAGACACGGCCCAAACUCCUACGGGAGGCAGCAGUGGGGAAUAUUGGACAAUGGGCGCAAGCUUGAUCCAGCCAUGCCGCGUGAGUGAUGAAGGUCUUAGGAUUGUAAAGCUCUUUCACCGGUGAAGAUAAUGACGGUAACCGGAGAAGAAGCCCCGGCUAACUUCGUGCCAGCAGCCGCAGUAA